Molecule: ribosomal RNA, 253 nt
Filed under: uncultured bacterium
Lineage: Bacteria
Description: partial 16S ribosomal RNA
Rfam family: Bacterial small subunit ribosomal RNA
Source: RNAcentral
UACGUAGGGUGCAAGCGUUGUCCGGAAUUACUGGGCGUAAAGGGCUCGUAGGCGGCCAACUAAGUCAGACGUGAAAUCCCUCAGCUUAACUGGGGAACUGCGUCUGAUACUGGAUGGCUGGAGUUUGGGAGAGGGAUGCGGAAUUCCAGGUGUAGCGGUGAAAUGCGUAGAUAUCUGGAGGAACACCGGUGGCGAAGGCGGCAUCCUGGACCAACACUGACGCUGAGGAGCGAAAGCCAGGGGAGCAAACGGG